Molecule: long non-coding RNA, 1100 nt
Organism: Lagopus muta (rock ptarmigan)
Lineage: Eukaryota; Metazoa; Chordata; Aves; Galliformes; Phasianidae
Exons: 2
Source: RefSeq, a predicted model, not a curated record
UCUACUGCAGUACAAACACGAUUUUGGCAAAUUAAACCUUGUCAGAGUCACAGCAAACUUCCUACUGAUCUGAGUUCACUUAUGCUUUUGUUACAGUUCUGGACUUCUUUCUGAUGUUUCCCUUUGGAUGUGUACUUUAAAACUAUUUCAUGAACUUGAGAUGUUUGAUUCUCCGCACAGUCUCAAGUAGGCAAGAUAUUUCUUUCUAUGGUCGUCUUCUUCCUCCUGCCUUGUUUUCAACUUGGCAUCUGGCAAAGCUGGACAAACUCUGGGACAUAAAAAUUCCCUUAACUAGAAGGAGCUUCAUGAGCAGCAGAUCCUACCAGCACCUGUCUCAGGGUUUCGUUCCAGCCUAGAAACUCUGGUGUCUAACAAGGACCAGGUUCUGGAUUCUGCAGCCUGCAAACCUCAGCAGUUUCUCACUCCUACCCAGGCACUUCCUUCUGAGGACUUCACAGACUCUUAAUACAUACCAGCCCCCUAUCAAAUUAGGUUACAAUAGACCACGAGUUCAUAAAAGAUUGGUCACAUCAUGUGGAAGGGAGAUUAAUAAUUAAUACAGUUUGUUCUAAUGCGUAAUGACUUUUUUUCAUUAGGAAGUAUGCCUAACAGAAUAAACACAUUUCGGCUCUGUUAACAACCGAGAGGCCAACAUUGCUGGCUAUAAACCCAGAGCAGCUCUGAUGCAUCAGCUACCUUCAGUGACAGCAAAGGCUAAUCUAAAGCCCCUGACUGACCAACACUGACACAUACACACCACCUACCCACAGCAGUUCUCCAUCAGGUAACCAGGCGUGUCUAUGAGAAAGGAUGGGGACAGCAGAGAUCAGAUUUCUGAACGACUCCUCACUUGCGCUCAGCAAAUUAAAACAUUAUGCUAGAACGUGGAGCACUGUGUGUUAUAAUUUUCCUGUUUUAGUCAUGCUCUAGAAAUAAGAAUAUUUAAACACGUUUUGGAAAAUCCUGUACUCCGUUGCCUGAGGUACAGUAUUCUCAGAGGACACUGCUAAUCCAACAAACUCCACAAAAUAAGCAAAAUGACUUUCCUUUGUCACUUAUGGCUGCUAAACUAUAAUAAAGGAAAUGUAAAUCUGGGUUCA